UUUAAGCAUAUCACUCAGUGGAGGAACAGCAAGCAACAGCGAUUGCUUCAGUAACGGCGAGUGAACCGGCAGAAUUCAUGGCUCAGCCUGAAUGAGAUUCCAAUCGCACCCAGUGUGCGCUCGGCUUUCGUGGAUAUCACCAUGCUGUGGGUUGAGGAGCGGCUGGCUGUGCUUCGGAUUGGCUGUGGUGCCAGGAACAAGCCUGGAAUGGCUGACACCAGAGGGAUACUGUCUCGUACUCUCGUUGUGCAUCACGGCUGUCUGAGGCGUUGCUGGCUGUAUCCAAGAGUAGAAUGGCUUGGGACUGCAGUUCGAAAUGUGGGGUAUAUCCCCCACAAGGAGCAAUACCAACAUGGGACCGAUAGCGCAGAAGUAGAGUGAUUGAAGGAUGCAAAGGACUUUGCAAAGAGGGUUAAAAGUCCCUGAAGCCUUGGCAGGAACGGCGGAGAGUGUUGCUGUGGCCUUUGGUUGAAUCCCAUGCCAGGCCCACCUCGGUGGCGUUUGGAUGGACCCUGGUUCAGCCACUGCUUGGUCCUCAAUGGAUCUCGCAGGUGUGAUUCCCAAGUGGCCUUGGGUCAGCCCAGUGUCAGCUGCUGUGCCCAGCCUUCAAAGGUUGGAUGCCAAUCGCAGUGACAUGUGGUGGCAGCUAUGCUUGCCAGGACCUGAGGUCUACGGUGUGAUCCACAGGGCUCUAUGUUGUGAUUUCUGAUGGCAUCAGCAGAUGAUAUGGUCAGGACGCAGCGAUUGUCGAUUGGAAUUCUGAGUGCUUGCAACCUCCUGGUGUGUCUUCGGACAUGCCAGUCACUGUGGCACAGUCUUGGUGGUGUUGGCAGAGGCAAUGGUGACUGCACCAUUCUGAUGGUGGUCCCAUGUCACUGUCUGGCAUUCCAGCUGGUGUCCAGUGCAGAACAGCAGAUCUUGGUGCAGCAGUGGCACUGUCUGCCCGUCUUGAAACACGGACCAAGGAGUCUAUGGAGCUUGCAUGUUGGCUGGUGCCAUCAACGAAACCAAGUUUGUGCUGACCCAACUGUGGUGCUUCGCCUGGUCGCUUGCAGUGAGGUGUUGACAAUCCCAACAUCCACGCUUGUGACAUGUGGCAGGUUCAGGCAGUGUGGGCAAUGGCCGCAAUUGCAAUGCAUGGUGAAGGCAACUCAACCAGAUUGGCAUUUGGCUGCUGCAUGGAACACCAGUUCCAUCGUCCAGUGGACAGGGUUCUGAGUGCUUGUGGAGUCCCAUGGGACCCGAAAGGUGGUGAACUAUACCAAUCUACGGUGAAGCCUUGGGAAACUGAGGUGGAGGCCGGUCGCUGUUCUGACGUGCAAAUUGUGUAGCCUGAGACUGGCAUAGGGGUGAAAGGCCAAUCGAGCCACCUAGUAGCUGGUUUCCCUCGAAGUUUCCCUCAGGAUAGCUGGGCUCAAAUGACACCAUCAGUGCUUACGUCCGGUAAAGCAACGCAUGAGAGGAAUCCAUGGGGAGUCUCUGCUCCUCAACCUAUUCUCGAACUGUGAAUGGGCGUGGCCCAGAAGCAUGCUUCUUCACUGAUGGCCAGAGGCUGGGUCAAACCAGUGCUCAAGGCUUCUGAGCGUGUUCCCUGUGGCUGUGUCUGAGAGAUGGCUGGUGGCCUGUGGCUGUGCUGUGCUCACCCCGUGUGGGCCACACGAAUUGCAAGGGCUGCCCCACGUAUCCUGAGGCUGGCUGCUAUGAGAUGAACAGAAGUGCCUAUGUGGGCCAUGAUUGGUAAGCAGUGCUGGCGAUGCGGGAUGCUCCGAGAGUGGACUUACAGAUCCAGAGUGCUGGCUCAUACACAGAUCCCACAAAGGAUGUUGUCUGCUAGAGAUAGCAGGACGGUGGCCAUGAAGGUUGGAACCCGCUAAGGAAUGUGUAACAACUCACCUGCCGAAGCGGUCCGCUCCGAAAAUGGAUGGUGCCCAAGUCAGUGAAGCUGAGAUUGUCUUACAGUCCACCACCGCUGUGGCUGUCAUUGCAGAGCAUCGUUGUGUAGAAUGGACAUGGGAGCAGCUGUGACUGUCAAAGCUGCCUUUGGCUGAAGCUACUUCUGGAGCAGAUCUUGGUUGUAGUAGCGAGUACUCCAUCGGGUGAAGAGUGGCAAACACCCCACUGUGUGCGGUUGAGGACUGAAGUGGAGCAGGUUUCCGCACCAAACAGCCGUUGAAUGCGGGUCAACCGACCGUGAGCCAAGUGGCAAAUUCACUGAACAAGCAAGGCUGCUAUGAUACUCAGGCUAUCCACAGAUUGCACCCAGCGCACCCUGCGUGUGCUGACCAGGGCAAUGCUGUGACCUGAAGCAUUGGCUGGCAGGAGUGGCAAACAGGCAAGCAUGUGCAACAUUCUGCUGUGAUGGGCCUGGGACACCCAUCGGUGGCGACGCCAUCCAACUGGAGCAUUCAGGCAUUGGGGCAGUGCACCCCCUGUGGAGUUAUCGUUUCCUCCUGAUGCAGGCUCAUGUGGGCUAUCAACAUCACGACAAGUGGCGCAGUAUGCUCUCCGCUCAGCAAGGCAGCACGCUCUAUGUGCUGAUGGCAUUGUGAAUAUGGAACUGUCUCUGUGAUUGAUUGCUGUACUGGCAUGUGGUCUCAGGCCACAAGAUCCUAAUGGUGGUCACUGGCUCCAAUGAACAGCUUGAAAGACCUUGUGCCUCAGGCAAUGGUCGUCGUACUGAAUCACCGCAGCCGGUCUCCUCGGCUAGACGCCGCUAGUCCACAGACUAAAUGCAGCUAAGGGAAGUCGGCAAACUAGCUGUGUACCUUUGGAAGAUGCAGUGGCUCCAGAAGUCAGGCCAAUGGGUCCUGCAACGGCUUGUGACAACGUUGAAGAACUGCUCUGUAUAGUGGCUCAUGUCACAGUGCGAGGCUUGAUCAUCCUCAGAAGCGCGAUCUGAUUGUGGAGGGCUUCGGCCCAUCCCAGUGGCUACUAAGUGGCUCAUGUGGAACUGUUGCUGUGCAGGGGAAUCUGACUGUUUAAUUGAAACCCAGCUUUGUGACGGGACCAGCUGGCUGGUUCCAUGAGGUGACUUCUGCCCAGUGCUCUGAUUGUUACCGCAAAGAGAUUUAUCCAAGCGCGGGUAAACGGCGGGAGUAACUAUGACUCUCUUAAGGUAGCCAAAUGCCUCGUCAACCAAUUAUUGACGCGCAUGAAUGGAUCAACGAGAUUCCUGCUGUCCCUAGGUGCUGUCUGGUGAACCAACAGCCAAGGGAACGGGCUUGGAUGUGUCAGCGGGGAAAGAA
Molecule: ribosomal RNA, 3245 nt
Filed under: Discoplastis spathirhyncha
Lineage: Eukaryota; Euglenozoa; Euglenophyceae; Euglenales; Phacaceae
Description: partial large subunit ribosomal RNA
Rfam family: Eukaryotic large subunit ribosomal RNA
Source: RNAcentral